GCCUGCAUGAAGCCGGAAUUGCUAGUAAUGGCAGGUCAGCAUACUGCCGUGAAUACGUUCCCGGGCCUUGUACACACCGCCCGUCACACCAUGAGAGUUGGGGAUACCCAAAGCCCGUGAGCCAACUUUAAAAGAGGCAGCGGUCUAAGGUAGAAUCAAUGAUUGGGGUGAAGUCGUAACAAGGUACC
Molecule: ribosomal RNA, 188 nt
Filed under: uncultured bacterium
Lineage: Bacteria
Description: partial 16S ribosomal RNA
Rfam family: Bacterial small subunit ribosomal RNA
Source: RNAcentral